This 998-nucleotide ribosomal RNA is filed under the name uncultured bacterium. RNAcentral describes it as "bacterial SSU rRNA". It matches the Rfam family "Bacterial small subunit ribosomal RNA", at positions 356 to 1376 of the family's 1533-position model. The record is from RNAcentral.
GGGGAAUAUUGCACAAUGGAGGAAACUCUGAUGCAGCGAUGCCGCGUGAGGGAAGAAGGUUUUAGGAUUGUAAACCUCUGUCUUCAGGGACGAAAAAAGACGGUACCUGAGGAGGAAGCUCCGGCUAACUACGUGCCAGCAGCCGCGGUAAUACGUAGGGAGCGAGCGUUGUCCGGAAUUACUGGGUGUAAAGGGAGCGUAGGCGGGAUCGCAAGUCAGAUGUGAAAACUAUGGGCUUAACCCAUAAACUGCAUUUGAAACUGUGGUUCUUGAGUGAAGUAGAGGUAAGCGGAAUUCCUAGUGUAGCGGUGAAAUGCGUAGAUAUUAGGAGGAACAUCAGUGGCGAAGGCGGCUUACUGGGCUUUAACUGACGCUGAGGCUCGAAAGCGUGGGGAGCAAACAGGAUUAGAUACCCUGGUAGUCCACGCCGUAAACGAUGAUUACUAGGUGUGGGGGGACUGACCCCUUCCGUGCCGCAGCAAACGCAAUAAGUAAUCCACCUGGGGAGUACGACCGCAAGGUUGAAACUCAAAGGAAUUGACGGGGGCCCGCACAAGCAGUGGAGUAUGUGGAUUAAUUCGAAGCAACGCGAAGAACCUUACCAGGUCUUGACAUCGUAUGCAUACCUCAGAGAUGAGUGAAAUCUCUUCGGAGACAUAUAGACAGGUGGUGCAUGGUUGUCGUCAGCUCGUGUCGUGAGAUGUUGGGUUAAGUCCCGCAACGAGCGCAACCCUUACUGUUAGUUGCUACGCAAGAGCACUCUAGCAGGACUGCCGUUGACAAAACGGAGGAAGGUGGGGAUGACGUCAAAUCAUCAUGCCCCUUAUGACCUGGGCCUCACACGUACUACAAUGGCUGUUAACAGAGGGAUGCAAAGCCGCGAGGUGGAGCGAACCCCUAAAAGCAGUCUUAGUUCGGAUUGUAGGCUGCAACCCGCCUACAUGAAGUCGGAAUUGCUAGUAAUCGCAGAUCAGCAUGCUGCGGUGAAUACGUUCCCG